RNAcentral lists this ribosomal RNA (254 nucleotides) under uncultured bacterium. RNAcentral describes it as "partial 16S ribosomal RNA". It matches the Rfam family "Bacterial small subunit ribosomal RNA", at positions 524 to 776 of the family's 1533-position model. The record is from RNAcentral.
UACGGAGGGGGCAAGAGUUGUUCGGAUUUACUGGGCGUAAAGGGCGCGUAGGCGGCGCGUAAAGUCGGACAUGAAAUCAUUAGGCUCAACCUAAUGCCUGUGUCCGAUAGUGACGUGCUUGGAGUGCGGGAGAGGCAGCCGGAAUUCUCGGGGUAGCGGUGAAAUGCGUAGAUAUCGAGAGGAAAACCGGUGACGAACGUGGGUUGCUGGACCGACACUGACGCUGAGGCGCGAAAGCUAGGGGAGCAAACGGG